Molecule: transfer RNA, 62 nt
Filed under: Pleuropoma jana
Lineage: Eukaryota; Metazoa; Mollusca; Gastropoda; Cycloneritida; Helicinidae
Description: tRNA-Arg
Source: RNAcentral
UAACAAAAAGCGAAGUUUUGCAAUUGGUUUCGACCCAUUUAUAUUGAAUUUAAUUUUCUUUG